This is an unclassified non-coding RNA of Ursus americanus (American black bear), 275 nucleotides long. Its record names the gene 7SK. It matches the Rfam family "7SK RNA". Rfam says of the family: 7SK was discovered as an abundant small nuclear RNA in the mid-70s but a possible function has only recently been suggested. Two independent studies have found that 7SK RNA binds the CDK9/cyclin T complex (known as elongation factor P-TEFb). The record is from Ensembl. NCBI's taxonomy places the organism in Eukaryota, Metazoa, Chordata, Mammalia, Carnivora, Ursidae.
GGAUAUGAGGGCUAUCUGCCUGUGACCUCUAUCACCCCAGUAAUCACCAGUGUUGAUUCAGAGGAUCUGCCUGGCUAGGCAGGUGUCCCCUUCCUCCCUGUUUCAUGUGCAUCCCUCUGCAAGCUGUGCACUCAGUUCAAGAGGAUGAACUUUCCCGAUAAAGGAUGACUGUUAUUCAGUCAAUGGUAUACCAAUAGCUGUACUCCCCCGCUGUAUCUUCCAAACAAACUCUCAAAUUGGGGCAGCCAGCCUCCAAGAUGGCUCUAAACCUCUUU